Molecule: non-coding RNA, 30 nt
Filed under: Rattus norvegicus (Norway rat)
Lineage: Eukaryota; Metazoa; Chordata; Mammalia; Rodentia; Muridae
Source: RNAcentral
UGAUGAGACGUCCAUGCUUGUGCACUCACA